GCCAGGCAUGGUGGCGCAUACCUGUAAUCCCAGCUACUCAGGAGGCUGAGGCAGAAGAAUUGCUUGAACCCGGGAGGUGGAGGUGGCAGUGAGCCGAGAUCAUGCCACUGCACUCCAGCCUGGGUAACAGAGCGAUACUCCAUCUCAA
RNAcentral lists this non-coding RNA (148 nucleotides) under Chlorocebus sabaeus (green monkey). The record is from Rfam by way of RNAcentral. Lineage: Eukaryota; Metazoa; Chordata; Mammalia; Primates; Cercopithecidae.